GCCGGAGGGAAACCGAGUCUUAAUUGGGCGUUAAGUUGCAGGGUAUAGACCCGAAACCCGGUGAUCUAGCCAUGGGCAGGUUGAAGGUUGGGUAACACUAACUGGAGGACCGAACCGACUAAUGUUGAAAAAUUAGCGGAUGACCUGUGGCUGGGGGUGAAAGGCCAAUCAAACCGGGAGAUAGCUGGUUCUCCCCGAAAGCUAUUUAGGUAGCGCCUCGUGAAUUCAUCUCCGGGGGUAGAGCACUGUUUCGGCUAGGGGGCCAUCCCGGCUUACCAACCCGAUGCAAACUGCGAAUACCGGAGAAUGUUAUCACGGGAGACACACGGCGGGUGCUAACGUCCGUCGUGAAGAGGGAAACAACCCAGACCGCCAGCUAAGGUCCCAAAGUCAUGGUUAAGUGGGAAACGAUGUGGGAAGGCCCAGACAGCCAGGAUGUUGGCUUAGAAGCAGCCAUCAUUUAAAGAAAGCGUAAUAGCUCACUGGUCGAGUCGGCCUGCGCGGAAGAUGUAACGGGGCUAAACCAUGCACCGAAGCUGCGGCAGCGACACUGUGUGUUGUUGGGUAGGGGAGCGUUCUGUAAGCCUGUGAAGGUGUGUCGUGAGGCAUGCUGGAGGUAUCAGAAGUGCGAAUGCUGACAUAAGUAACGAUAAAGCGGGUGAAAAGCCCGCUCGCCGGAAGACCAAGGGUUCCUGUCCAACGUUAAUCGGGGCAGGGUGAGUCGACCCCUAAGGCGAGGCCGAAAGGCGUAGUCGAUGGGAAACGGGUUAAUAUUCCCGUACUUGGUGUUACUGCGAAGGGGGGACGGAGAAGGCUAUGUUGGCCGGGCGACGGUUGUCCCGGUUUAAGCGUGUAGGUGUGUGUUCCAGGUAAAUCCGGUUCACUUUAACACUGAGGCGUGACGACGAGGCACUACGGUGCUGAAGCAACAAAUGCCCUGCUUCCAGGAAAAGCCUCUAAGCAUCAGGUAACAUCAAAUCGUACCCCAAACCGACACAGGUGGUCAGGUAGAGAAUACCAAGGCGCUUGAGAGAACUCGGGUGAAGGAACUAGGCAAAAUGGUGCCGUAACUUCGGGAGAAGGCACGCUGACACGUAGGUGAAGUGAUUUACUCAUGGAGCUGAAGUCAGUCGAAGAUACCAGCUGGCUGCAACUGUUUAUUAAAAACACAGCACUGUGCAAACACGAAAGUGGACGUAUACGGUGUGACGCCUGCCCGGUGCCGGAAGGUUAAUUGAUGGGGUCAGCGCAAGCGAAGCUCCUGAUCGAAGCCCCGGUAAACGGCGGCCGUAACUAUAACGGUCCUAAGGUAGCGAAAUUCCUUGUCGGGUAAGUUCCGACCUGCACGAAUGGCGUAAUGAUGGCCAGGCUGUCUCCACCCGAGACUCAGUGAAAUUGAACUCGCUGUGAAGAUGCAGUGUACCCGCGGCAAGACGGAAAGACCCCGUGAACCUUUACUAUAGCUUGACACUGAACAUUGAGCCUUGAUGUGUAGGAUAGGUGGGAGGCUUUGAAGUGUGGACGCCAGUCUGCAUGGAGCCGACCUUGAAAUACCACCCUUUAAUGUUUGAUGUUCUAACGUGGACCCGUUACCCGGGUUGCGGACAGUGUCUGGUGGGUAGUUUGACUGGGGCGGUCUCCUCCUAAAGAGUAACGGAGGAGCACGAAGGUUGGCUAAUCCUGGUCGGACAUCAGGAGGUUAGUGCAAUGGCAUAAGCCAGCUUGACUGCGAGCGUGACGGCGCGAGCAGGUGCGAAAGCAGGUCAUAGUGAUCCGGUGGUUCUGAAUGGAAGGGCCAUCGCUCAACGGAUAAAAGGUACUCCGGGGAUAACAGGCUGAUACCGCCCAAGAGUUCAUAUCGACGGCGGUGUUUGGCACCUCGAUGUCGGCUCAUCACAUCCUGGGGCUGAAGUAGGUCCCAAGGGUAUGGCUGUUCGCCAUUUAAAGUGGUACGCGAGCUGGGUUUAGAACGUCGUGAGACAGUUCGGUCCCUAUCUGCCGUGGGCGCUGGAGAACUGAGGGGGGCUGCUCCUAGUACGAGAGGACCGGAGUGGACGCAUCACUGGUGUUCGGGUUGUCAUGCCAAUGGCACUGCCCGGUAGCUAAAUGCGGAAGAGAUAAGUGCUGAAAGCAUCUAAGCACGAAACUUGCCCCGAG
Molecule: ribosomal RNA, 2157 nt
Filed under: Salmonella enterica subsp. enterica serovar Enteritidis
Lineage: Bacteria; Pseudomonadati; Pseudomonadota; Gammaproteobacteria; Enterobacterales; Enterobacteriaceae
Description: partial 23S ribosomal RNA
Rfam family: Bacterial large subunit ribosomal RNA
Source: RNAcentral